GGGUUUCAUCAUGUUGGCCAGGCUGAUCUCGAACCCCUGACCUCAAGUGACCUGCCCGCCUCAGCCUCCCAAAAUGCUGCAAUUACAGGCAUGAGCCACCGCGCCCGGCCCUAAUACACCUUUUAACCUAAAAUUUCAGGACUUUCUUUACUUAGAAAAUUAUAUACACAUAUAUAGCUGUGAUUGUGCCACUGCAAUCCAGCCUGGGCGACAGAGUGAGCCCUUGUCUCAAAAGAAAAAAAAAGUUUGGUAUAUAAUCUUCCAAUCCCUUUCUAUGAAUUUAAAUGUUUAUUUUCUACCUAGUAAUCUUAUUUUUUUUAAUUCUUUAUUUCCUAGAUAAUGUUCAUUGAACCUUUUUGUAUUGAGAAAUUUUAAGGCACAUUUAAAAAAUAUAUUCUAACCAGGCACCGUGGCUAUCUUAGCACUUUAGGAGGCUGAGGCGGGUGAUCAGUUGAGGUCAGGAGUUCAAGACCGGCCUGAUGGUGAAAACCCUGUCUCUACAAAAAAUACAAAAAUUAGCCGGGCACAGUGGUGUGACCCUGUAAUCCCAGAUACUGGGGAGGCUGAGGCAUGAAAAUUGCUUGAACAUGGGAGACAGAGGUUGCAGUGAGCCAAGAUUGCACCACUGCACUCCAGCCUGGGCGACAGAGUGAGGCUCUGUCUCCAAAAAUAAUAAGAAGAAAGAGAGAGAGAGAGAAACAAACAAACAAACAGAGGCAAAAUUAAUAUAAGUAGCAUUUUUUGUUGUGGUUGUUGUUUUCUUCCUGAGACAGAGUUUUGCUCUUACGCCCAGGCUGAAGUGCAAUGGCCAUGAUCUCCGCUCACCACAACCUCCGCCCCCAGGGUUCAAGCGAUUCUCCUGCCUGAGCUGGAGAUUACAGGCACCCACCACCACCACGCCCAGCUAAUGUUGUAGUUUUAGUAGAGACAGGGUUUGGCUAUGUUGGACAGGCUGGUCUCGAACUCCUGACCUCAGGCGAUCCACCCACCUCGGCCUCCCAAAGUGCUAGGAUUAUAGGCCUGAGCCACUGCACCCAGCCCCGUUUUUUUUGUUUGUUUGUUUGUUUUUUUUUUUUUUUUAUUUUUAUUUUUUAUUUUUUAUUUUUUAUUUUUAUUGAUCAUUCUUGGGUGUUUCUCGCAGAGGGGGAUUUGGCAGGGUCAUAGGACAAUAGUGGAGGGAAGGUCAGCAGAUAAACAAGUGAACAAAGGUCUCUGGUUUUCCUAGGCAGAGGACCCUGCGGCCUUCCGCAGUGUUUGUGUCCCUGGGUACUUAAGAUUAGGGAGUGGUGAUGACUCUUAACGAGCAUGCUGCCUUCAAGCAUCUGUUUAACAAAGCACAUCUUGCACCGCCCUUAAUCCAUUUAACCCUGAGUGGACACAGCACAUGUUUCAGAGAGCACAGGGUUGGGGAUAAGGUCACAGAUCAACAGGAUCCCAAGGCAGAAGAAUUUUUCUUAGUACAGAACAAAAUGAAAAGUCUCCCAUGUCUACUUCUAUCCACACAGACCCCGCAACCAUCCGAUUUCUCAAUUUUUUCCCCACCCUUCCCGCCUUUCUAUUCCACAAAACCGCCAUUGUCAUCAUGGCCCAUCCCCAAUGAGCCGCUGGGCACACCUCCCAGACGGGGUCGUGGCCGGGCAGAGGGGCUCCUCACUUCCCAGUAGGGGCGGCCCGGCAGAAGUGCCCCUCACCUCCCAGAUGGGGCGGCUGGCCGGGAGGGGGGCUGACCCCCCCACCGCCCUCCCGGACGGGGCGGCUGGCCAGGCAGAGGGGCUCCUCACUUCCCAGUAGGGGCGGCCGGGCAGAGGCGCCCCUCACCUCCUGGAUAGGGCGGCUGGCCGGGCGGGGGACUGUUCCCCCCACCUCCCUCCCGGACGGGGCGGCUGGCCGGGCAGAGGGGUCCUCACUUCCCAGUAGGGGCGGCCGGGCAGAGGCGCCCCUCACCUCCCGGACGGGGCGGCUGGCCAGGCAGGGGGCUGAUCCCCCCACCUCCCUCCCGGACGGGGCGGCUGGCCGGGCGGGGGGCUGACCCCCCCCACCUCCCUCCCGGACGGGGCGGCUGGCCGGGCAGGGGGCUGACCCCCCCUCCCCCCUCCCGGACGGGGCGGCUGGCCGGGCGGGGGGCUGACCCCCCCACCUCCCUCCCGGAUGGGGCGGCUGGCCAGGCGGGGGGCUGACCCCCCCACCUCCCUCCUGGGCGGGGCGGCUGGCCGGGCAGAGGGGCUCCUCACUUCCCAGUAGGGGCGGCCGGGCAGAGGCGCCCCUCACCUCCCGGACGGGGCGGCUGGCCAGGCGGGGGGCUGACCCCCCACCUCCCUCCCGGACUGGGCGGCUGGCCGGGCGGGGGGUUGACCCCCCCACCUCCCUCCUGGACGGGGCGACUGGCCGGGCAGAGGGGCUCCUCACUUCCCAGUAGGGGCGGCCGGGCAGAGGAGCCCCUCACCUCCCGGACGGGGCGGCUGGCCGGGCGGGGGGCUGACCCCCCCCACCUCCCUCCCGGACGGGGUGGCUGCCGGGCGGAGACGCUCCUCACUUCCCAGACGGGGUGGUUGCCAGACGGAGGGGCUCCUCACUUCUCAGACGGGGCGGUUGCCAGGCAGAGGGUUUCCUCACUUCUCAGACGGAGCGGCCGGGCAGAGACACUCCUCACCUCCCAGACAGGGUUGCGGCCCAGCAGAGGCGCUCCUCACAUCCCAGACAGGGCGGUGGGGCAGAGGUGCUCCCCACAUCUCAGACGAUGGGCGGCCGGGCAGAGACGCUCCUCACUUCCUAGAUGGGAUGGCGGCGGGGAAGAGGCGCUUCUCGCUUCCUAGAUGGGAUGGCGGCCGGGCAGAGACGCUCCUCACUUUCCACACUGGGCAGCCAGGCAGAGGGGCUCCUCAUAUCCCAGACGAUGGGUGGCCAAGCAGAGACGCUCCUCACUUCCCAGACGGGGUGGCGGCCGGGCAGAGGCUGCAAUCUCGGCUCUUUGGGAGGCCAAGGCAGGCGGCUGGGAGGUGGUUGUAGCGAGCCGAGAUCACGCCACUGCACUCCAGCCUGGGCACCAUUGAGCACUGAGUGAACGAGACUCCAUCUGCAAUCCCGGCACCUCGGGAGGCCGAGGCUGGCGGAUCACUCGCGGUUAGGAGCUGGAGACCAGCCCGGCCAACACAGCGAAACCCCAUCUCCACCAAAAAAAAACGAAAACCAGUCAGGCGUGGCGGCGCGCGCCUGCAAUCGCAGGCACUCGGCAGGCUGAGGCAGGAGAAUCAGGCAGGGAGGUUGCAGUGAGCCGAGAUGGCAGCAGUACCGUCCAGCUUUGGCUCGGCAUGAGAGGGAGAGGGAGACGGGAGAGGGAGAGGGAGACGGGAGAGGGAGAGGGAGACGGGAGAGGGAGAGGGAGACGGGAGAGGGAGAGGGAGAGGGAGACGGGAGAGGGAGAGGGAGACGGGAGAGGGAGAGGGAGACGGGAGAGGGAGAGGGAGACGGGAGAGGGAGAGGGAGACGGGAGAGGGAGAGGGAGACGGGAGAGGGAGAGGGAGACGGGAGAGGGAGACGGGAGAGGGAGAGGGAGACGGGAGAGGGAGACGGGUGUUUGUUUGUUU
Molecule: long non-coding RNA, 3584 nt
Filed under: Homo sapiens (human)
Lineage: Eukaryota; Metazoa; Chordata; Mammalia; Primates; Hominidae
Description: HSALNT0406136
Source: RNAcentral